GUCCCAGUGUGGUAAUGGAUAUCCUUUGGGCUUGCGGAGCCCAAAAUCCGGGUUCGACUCCCGGCUGGGACG
Molecule: transfer RNA, 72 nt
Filed under: Candidatus Methanophagaceae archaeon SCGC AAA252-L18
Lineage: Archaea; Methanobacteriati; Methanobacteriota; Methanomicrobia; Candidatus Methanophagales; Candidatus Methanophagaceae
Also listed under: 5 other names
Description: tRNA-Arg
Rfam family: tRNA
About the family: Transfer RNA (tRNA) molecules are approximately 80 nucleotides in length.
Source: RNAcentral